Molecule: long non-coding RNA, 513 nt
Filed under: Panicum hallii
Lineage: Eukaryota; Viridiplantae; Streptophyta; Magnoliopsida; Poales; Poaceae
Description: long non-coding RNA (PHAL_LNC000196)
Source: RNAcentral
GCAUCUCUUCUUUAUGCAAAAACAUCUUCAAUUUAGAGCAACUAACACAUCGUAUAUGCACAAAUUUAUUUAGUUUCGGUGCUCUAAAUAUUGCAGGAGCCAUCUCUUUUUUCAGGCAAACACAUUAGUUGAGAGCAGGCAUCUCUUCUUUAUGCAAACAAUUCUUAAAUUCAGAGCAAUUAACACAUCAUAUAUAUGCGAUUUUUGUGCUCUAAAUAUUGAAGGAUCCGUCUCUUUUUCAUGCAAACACAUUAGUGGGAAAAAUAAAUAAAACAAUAAGAAGUUAACGGGAAAGUAAAACAAUAUAUAUACGUAGUCUAGAGCAAAAAUCAAAUUGUGAAAAACAAGGAGCCAUCUCUUUUUCUUGCAAACACAUUAGUGGGGAAUAUAAAUAAAAAAAUAAGAAGGGAAGUUAAUGGGGGAAGUAAAACAAUAUAUACACACACACAAUACAACAACAACAACAACUUAGCCUUUUGUCCCAAGUAAGUUGGGGUAGGCUAAAGAUGAAAC